UCAAUUCUCUUUAAAAAAAAAAAGGAAACUCAUAGAAAUCCUCACUGAGAAAACUAUAAACAAUCUCCAGAGGCAGAAUAAGACCAAAAACAAACAAAAAAAGGCUUCCCCAGGGUAAUUACACGUUAUUCCUUUAUGAUCAAAACAGAAAUUUGGUGAAUUUAAACAGUAACUAAAUUCUAAGGUUUCAUUAAAUCAUACAUGAUUGCAUGUUUUUUUAUUUUUUAAAAAUCUAGUAUUUUAGUAUUCAAGUUUUAAACAUAGCAUCCUUUUCUCAUCAUUAAAAGUAGGAUAAUUCUAGACAACUCUUCUGAAAUCUAUAAACAUGCUUAUAC
RNAcentral lists this long non-coding RNA (335 nucleotides) under Bos taurus (domestic cattle). RNAcentral's name for it is "long non-coding RNA NONBTAT017629". Lineage: Eukaryota; Metazoa; Chordata; Mammalia; Artiodactyla; Bovidae. The record is from RNAcentral.